Molecule: long non-coding RNA, 400 nt
Organism: Vespa velutina
Lineage: Eukaryota; Metazoa; Arthropoda; Insecta; Hymenoptera; Vespidae
Exons: 2
Source: RefSeq, a predicted model, not a curated record
UAGAAUAGACUGCCCUCUGACAAGAAUUAUUGGAGUUACGAAAACAUAAAAAUAAAAACAAAAUAAAAAAAAAAAAAAAAUAAAGAAUUACUAUACAGCUUUACUUAUUAAUGAACACAAUUCGAUGGUCGAAAAAGUAUUGUAUGGAGAGUGUGACAUCGAUUGUGAUAGAGAAGGAGAAUGAAAUGAAGAUUUAGAUACUGAACGGGAGUGUGAUGUGAAUUUCGACAGUAUCGAAAAAUGAGGAUGAGACCUUAUGCUGGAACCACGAGAGAUUGCCCUAGAUGAUGUACGCGAACCAUUUUCAUUUUUAGAACCAGCUAAAAAAGCAUAAUAAUAAUGAUCAGAUAAAAAUUGUAAAGUUAAAAAUAUAUAUAACCUUUCUCUUUUGCUUUUUCAA